AACUCUCAGCGGUGGAUCACUUGAUGAAGAAUGCAGCUAGAUGCGAGAAAUAAUGUGAAUUGCAGAACACAUUGAUCAUCAACACUUCGAACACACUUUGUGGCCCCAGGUUCCUCCCGGGGCCAUGCCUGUCUGAGGGUCG
Ribosomal RNA from Cyprinus carpio carpio, 142 nucleotides. It matches the Rfam family "5.8S ribosomal RNA". From Rfam's summary of the family: 5.8S ribosomal RNA (5.8S rRNA) is a component of the large subunit of the eukaryotic ribosome. It is transcribed by RNA polymerase I as part of the 45S precursor that also contains 18S and 28S rRNA. Functionally, it is thought that 5.8S rRNA may be involved in ribosome translocation. The record is from Ensembl. NCBI's taxonomy places the organism in Eukaryota, Metazoa, Chordata, Actinopteri, Cypriniformes, Cyprinidae.